UUUCUUUUAGAAGACAUUGAAUUUUACAUUGAACUGCAUAAUCUCUUAAUUUGCUAUCCUUUUGCCCUUAGGAAAGUGAUGCAAAAAAUUGAUGCAUUUGAUCCUGUGAGAGGUUUUCAGAAUGGAGAAGAAAACAAUCAAAUUUCCAAGGAAGAUAUCUUUGGAAAACUCACUCUAUUGGCAAGAAUAUACUGUGGAAUAUGUCAUCAUGGGUAUUCCACACCCAUAUUCCCCUUCUCCAUUUCCCACUUUACAUAUGAAGAACCUGAGAUAUCUGAAAACCUCCUCCUAACAACAAGUAUUUGUAUGAAAAAAAUUAGGAACUUGAUAUUUAGCUUGUUGAAGUCUGGUGGGAAAUGCAAGAAGAUGAAGCAAUAUCUCACAGCUGUGGAAAGAGGAUCACAGGUGUACCUACGUGAUGUCUCAACCUUUUAAAUAAGAAAAAUAAUAUGCUGUGCAUGAAAUAUUGGAACUUGAAUAUUACAGGUAAUUAAAUGUAUAUGUGCGUCUGUUCAUUCAAAAUUUGAUGUAAUUUGUUUUGUAUUUCCAUUUGCUUAAAACAGUUCCUGCUUUCUGUAUGUACUCCUUUAAAACGUGU
This 598-nucleotide long non-coding RNA is filed under the name Parus major (Great Tit). RNAcentral's name for it is "lncRNA (ENSPMJG00000015878.1)". Lineage: Eukaryota; Metazoa; Chordata; Aves; Passeriformes; Paridae. The record is from RNAcentral.